Oryza meridionalis is the source of this 202-nucleotide non-coding RNA. Lineage: Eukaryota; Viridiplantae; Streptophyta; Magnoliopsida; Poales; Poaceae. The record is from Rfam.
AACGAGUGCUGUUGUGGUUUUUCGUGUCCAACAUUUGAUCGCCGUCUUAUUUAAAAUUUGUCUAUGAUUAGUAUUUUUAUUAUCAUUAGAUAAUAAAAUAUAAAUACUACAUUAUGUGUGACUAUUUUUUAAAAAAAUAUAAAAUUUUUAAAUAAGACGGACGGUCAAACGUUCGGCACGAAAACUCAUAACUGCACUAAAA